UGUAAUUCAGACAGAUAUUUGCUUUGGCCAUAAACUAUGAUUCAUAACAAUAUGAAAAAGUCUGAUAAUAAAUGGUCGCAAUUGGCACCUAUAUGAAUAUCUGCAACCUGUCAGUAAACUUUAUUGCCAAAACUAACAUAGAUGUUGCCAAGAUGUAGAUUUACAGCUAAAAAAACGUCUCAUUACAGUUUCAAUAAGACUGAGUAUAUCUAGCACGUUUCCUUUUUAGCUCACCUGGCCCUAAGGGCCAAGUGAGCUUUUCCCAUCACUUUGCGUCCGGCGUCCGGCGUCCGUCGUCCGUCGUCCUCUCCGUCGUCGUCGUUAACUUUUACAAAAAAUCUUCUCCUCUGAAACUACUGGGCCAAUUUAACCAAACUUGGCCACAAUCAUCAUUGCGGGUACUAGUUAAAAAAAUCUGUCCGGUGACCCGGCCAACCGCAAGAUGGCGCCAUGGCUAAAAAUAGAACAUAGGGUAAAAUGCAGUUUUGGCUUAUAACUCAAAAACACAAAGCAUUUAGAGCAAAUUCUGACAUGGGUAUAUUGGUCAUCAGGUCAAGAUCUACUGCCCUGAAAUUUUCAGAUGAAUUCGACAUUUCGUUGUUGGGUUGCCCCUGAAAUGGUAAUUUAAGGAAAUUUUGCUGUUUUUGGUUAUUAUCUUGAAUAUUAUUAUAGAUAGAGAUAAACUGUAACAGCAAUAAUGUCAGCAAAGUAAGAUUACAAAUAAGUCAACGUGACCAAAAUGGUCAGUUGACCCUUUAGGAGUUAUUGCCCCUUUAUAGUCAAUUUUAACCAUUUUUUCGUAAUCUUAGUAAUCUUUAGAAAAAAAUCUUCUCCUCUGAAACUACUGGGACAAAUUAAUCCAAACUUGGCCAUAAUCAUCAUUGGGUAUCUAGUUUAAAAAUGUGUCCGGUGACCGGGCCAACCAAACCAAGAUGGCCGCCAUGGCUAAAAAAUAGAACAUAGGGGUAAAAUGCAGUUUUUGGCUUAUAACUCAAAAACCAAAGCAUUUAGAGCAAAUCUGACGGGUAAAUUGUUAUCAGGUCAAGAUCUAUUCUGCCUGAAAUUUUCAGAUGAAUCAACAUUCCCGUUGUUGGGUUGCUGCCCUGAAUGGUAAUUUUAAGGAAUUUUGUCUGUUUUUGGUUAUUAUCUUGAUAUUAUUAUAGAUAGAGAUAAACUGUAAAGAGCAAUAAUGUUCAGCAAAUUAGAUCUACAAAUAAGUCAUCAUGACUAAAAUGGUCAGUUGACCCUUUAGGAGUUAUUGCCCUUUAUAGUCAAUUUUUAACCAUUUUUCGUAAAUCUUAGUAAUCUUUUAGAAAAAUCUUCUCCUCUGAAACUACUGGGCCAAAUUUAACCAAACUUGGCCAUAAUCAUCAUUGGGGUAUCUAGUUAAAAAAAAUGUGUCCGGUAACUCGGCCAACAAACCAAGAUGGCCCCAUGGCUAAAAAUAGAACAUGGGGGGUAAAAUGCAGUUUUGGCUUAUAACUCAAAAACCAAAGCAUUAAGAGCAAAUCUAACAGGAAGUAAAAUUGUUGAUCAGGUCACGAUCUAUCUGCCCUGGAAUUUUCAGAUGAAUCAGAUAAUUGGUUGUUAGGUUGCUGCCCCUGAAUUGGUAAUUUUGAGGAAAUUUUGCUGUUUUUUUGUUAUCUUGAAUAUUAUUAUAGAUAGAGAUAAACUGUAAACAGCAAUAAUGUACAGCAAAGUAAGAACUAAAAAUAAGUCACUAUGACCAAAAUAGUCAAUUGACCCCCUAAGGAGUUAUUGCCCUUCAUAGUCAAUUUUUAACAAUUUUCUUAAAAUUUGAAGAUUUUCAAUAACAUUUUCCACAGAAAGUACUGUUAUAGAUAGAGAUAAUUGUAAGCAGCAAGAAUGUUUAGUAAAGUAAGAUCUCCAAACACAUCACCAUCACCAAAACACAAUUUUGUCAUGAAUCCAUCUGUGUCCAUUGUUUAAUAUUCACAUAGACCAAGGUGAGCGACACAGGCUCUUUAGAGCCUCUAGUUUCAUCACAGAAGUAGUCCUAAAAGGAUCAUUCAAUUAAAUAAGACCAUUUCUGUUUGAUAAGAUUGUGUGGUUGUGUAAUGUAUCGUCGUCAAAAUCAUAGUUGGCAAUUGAAUUGAAAGGCCAGACCAUCAAAAGCAUGUAAUGUAUCCAAAACAUCCAAAGAUAAAUAUAACCCGAAAAAUAACUAAUUCCAUCAUUUCAUAGGCACUAUUACAAAACAAAUCACUAGUCCUUUCACCAAAGUAAGUAACAAGUUCACUCUAUGGAAAGAUAAGGCAUUCUUACUUUUACAUGAGAUAAAAUGAAUUUUGAACAAGUUUCUUUUGUAGUUCAGGCAACUAAUACAUAGCAGGUACUUCUAAUUUUUUUAAAAGAGUCCUUAAGGUCAGCUUCACUAUUUGACUCUCUGUGAAGCGUACAGUCUUGAAUGAAGAUUAAUGUUUAACGUCAUCUAUGCAGUAUAAGUAAUGACUCCUGUCACAAAAUAGAAUUAAAACGCUCUAAACAGUAAAAGAAGUCAGAUAAUCACAACACAGAGUCCCCAAAGAUAAUCAAAACAUAUUGAACUGUCACCAAAGACAUAUUCAACAUAAAAGUACAGUCAAAAGGAAAAGUUGACCUACAAUUGUUUAAGUUUUUAAACUUUGUGACAUGGACAGAGAGUUGUCUCAUUGGCACUCAUACCACAUCUUAUUUAUAUUAAAGCAACAUCUCUGCCAAAACAUUUUUUUUUAUUUUAAAACGUAAUGUUGUAUAUAUACAUAUAUCACUAAUGAAAUAUAAACUCUGAAUCAAUAUUUCUAUGAAAAAAAGUUGUGUAUGUUAUAAGAUUUUCAUUAAUUUUUGUUUCCACUUUUGGAGGGACAGACCCAUUUCAAGCCAAAUCACUCUUUAUAAAAAAUAAUCAGUGUGUGACAACACAGACAUUCAUGUGAUAAAGAUUUGAAUGAACGUAUUGUUUGGAAGAUUAAAAAUAUUUUCAAUGAAAUGUUGAAAUGAAACGUGUAGUUAUGUCCCUUUGUUUUAGAUUAUCGUCCAAUAACAGUUAUCAAUUAAUUAUUAGUAUUGACUAACGAAUAGGAACAAUUAGAAUGCCCAAAAUAAGUACAUUUAUCCUAUCUUUAUUGAAAGACCCAAGAUUCAAAAGUUGUAUUUUUGACAAAUUAUUAUAAAUCUUUACUUUUUAACCAAAACUUACAAAAUAAUUGAAUUCUUAAAUAGUUUUCAAUAUUUUAACAGAUUAUGGUUUAACUGUAAACAGUAAAUAUAUUAUAAGUCAAAUAUAUUUAAGAACAAUCUUUAAAAAAUUCUUCCGCAGGUUGUUUUUGAUUUAUUUUUUAGUGGAAGUUCCAAAGUUAAUAAAAUAAUUAUGGUCAAAAGAUGAAAGAAAAAUGACAGAAAAUAUCACUACUUGCAGAUUCUGAAAUUGUUGAAUCCCACUCUGAUUCCAAGCAUGUUCACACAACAAGGCAACAACAGAAAUCUGAUUCCAGUUAACAUUUGAAAUGUUAUGUCACUUAUAACCAUAUAUAAGUCAAAUAAUAGAUUAUCUAUAUAUAGAAUAACAAUAUUGUACUUUACAAGCACCAUUCCACGGACAAUUUUCUUGACAGUCAAAACAUAAAUACUGUAUAUCAUAUAUACAUUAAAGUAAAGUACAUAAGCCUAAGAAAUGCAUAUGCAUCAUUGAAAAGCUCUUCUUAAGGUAUUGAAGAGAAGCAAGAUAAAAAAAAAUCAACAUGAAAACAUGUGUACAUAAUAUAUAUAUAAAUACACAAAUAAUAAGUAUA
RNAcentral lists this long non-coding RNA (3791 nucleotides) under Mytilus galloprovincialis (Mediterranean mussel). Lineage: Eukaryota; Metazoa; Mollusca; Bivalvia; Mytilida; Mytilidae. The record is from RNAcentral.